RNAcentral lists this ribosomal RNA (490 nucleotides) under uncultured bacterium. RNAcentral describes it as "partial 16S ribosomal RNA". It matches the Rfam family "Bacterial small subunit ribosomal RNA", at positions 28 to 507 of the family's 1533-position model. The record is from RNAcentral.
GAUGAACGCUAGCUACAGGCUUAACACAUGCAAGUCGCGGGGCAGCAUGGGGGUUGCUUGCAAUCCCCGAUGGCGACCGGCGCACGGGUGAGUAACGCGUAUCCAACCUGCCCUUCACCACGGGAUAACCCGGCGAAAGUCGGACUAAUACCGUAUGUUGCCCAUUGACGGCAUCCGAUUUGGACGAAAGGUUUGGCGGUGAAGGAUGGGGAUGCGUCCGAUUAGCUGGACGGCGGGGUGACGGCCCACCGUGGCGACGAUCGGUAGGGGUUCUGAGAGGAAGGUCCCCCACACUGGAACUGAGACACGGUCCAGACUCCUACGGGAGGCAGCAGUGAGGAAUAUUGGUCAAUGGGCGUAAGCCUGAACCAGCCAAGUAGCGUGCAGGAUGACGGCCCUAUGGGUUGUAAACUGCUUUUAUGCGGGGAUAAAGUGGCCCACGUGUGGGUUUUUGCAGGUACCGCAUGAAUAAGGACCGGCUAAUUCCGUG